CCCUUAGAUGUUCUGGGCUGCACGCGCGCUACACUGACGCACGCAACAGGUGCCUGCUCCGAGAGGACUGGGUAAUCAUUUGAGUGUGCGUCGUGAUGGGGAUAGAAUAUUGUAAUUAUUACUCUUCAACGAGGAAUUCCUAGUAAGCGCCAGUCAGCAGCUUGCGCCGAUUACGUCCCUGCCCUUUGUACACACCGCCCGUCGCUCCUACCGAUGGGUGAUCCGGUGAAUGAUUCGGACUUCAGCGGCUCCCCUGGGGUGCGCCGGAGAAAGUUUUGUGAACCUUAUCACUUGGAGGAAGGAGAAGUCGUAACA
RNAcentral lists this ribosomal RNA (315 nucleotides) under uncultured eukaryote. RNAcentral's name for it is "partial 18S ribosomal RNA". It matches the Rfam family "Eukaryotic small subunit ribosomal RNA", at positions 1470 to 1796 of the family's 1831-position model. The record is from RNAcentral.